This is a non-coding RNA of Monodelphis domestica (gray short-tailed opossum), 14569 nucleotides long. Lineage: Eukaryota; Metazoa; Chordata; Mammalia; Didelphimorphia; Didelphidae. The record is from RefSeq and is a predicted model, not a curated record.
UAUAUGCAUAUAUAUGAAUAUGAAGCCUGAUAAUCAAAUUUUCAUUUGGACAUAGAGACAAACUUGCAGAAUUAUUUAUUCUAGUGUAAGCCACAGAUCUGAGUCCCAAGACCAGUUCUUCUGGAACUGACUUCCAUAGACCUCUAUAUUGCUUAUGCAAUACAUAGUCCCUGGCCCUAGAUAAAAGCAGACAAGUUUCUACAAGUCUCUUUAUGGCCAAACCUGAAUCACUGAAAGCAGAGGGCUAGAUAAUCAGCUGAACACCAAAGGACUCUUACUACCUUUACAGUGAUCUGGGCACUAUGGGAAGAAGUAGAAUUUUGUAUAACUCUACUGACCUUCUCUGUAUCUGUCCCCUCCCUGCCUUUUUUAAACCCUCAAUUUCCAUUUUAGAAUCAAUAUUGUGUAUUGGUUCUAAGGCAGAAGAGUGGUAAGGGCCAGACAGUAGGAGUUACUUUCCCAGGUCACAUAGCUAGGAAGAGGCCAGAUUGAACCCAAGAACCAACCCCCCCUCCCCACAUUUCCAGGUCUGAAUCCGAUGAACCAUCCAGCUGGCCUCUUCUUGAGCACUCCCAGAGAUCUCUCUAGUAAUGCUCUCUCAUCUAGUACAAGUGGUGAUGCUAUUAUCUUCAUCAAAUCAAAGUGAUAGGCCAUGCUUGCUUAUUUCCCUUGGUGAAUUUCUGGUCUUUGAGAACAGAGAACUACUUCCCCAUAGCAGCUUAUAGCCCUUCUCAAGCAGGACAUUCCUAUGAGUCAUUUUCAAUAUCAACACUCUUGAGUCCUGGGAAUUUUUAGUUUGGAAAACAAAAGCAGGCAGCCCAGCAGAAACCUGACUGUAGGCAGAGCACAGGGGCCAAAGAGCCUGUCAUCUGUGGCUAAGUGAUUAUAUAACAGCUCAAGCAAGCAGAGAGGCAGGCAGAUAAUGGGAGGGAACCCCAGUGAAGCAGUCAUGGAGAAAGGCUGUGCAGACUGAGAAAGACAGAAGCAGGCUAGGUUCUUGAUCCUGGUCUUCUAAGUCAUUAUGGAUCUUGGUUUCAAGACCCAUGUGAAGAUGCCCUCUAGACUGAGCAGGCAGCAUCUGGCGUGUUACUGCCUAUCUUCAGAGAAUCUCCUCUACUGGAAUCCCAAGUUUUCUUCUUCUUCUAUGGCUCUGGUAUGCACAAGGAAAUAAAAUGCCAGGUAUUUAGGAGGUAUGGGUUCUAGGCUCCUCUCUUUAGAAGUCACUGCAUAUCAUAUGCAUCGUCAUUCACCCAGGUUACUUUUCUCACUUUUUGUAACAAAUAAUGCUUAUUCUUUCUCAUUGAGUAAGAAAGGGAGAAGGAAAAACCACCUGCUAUGCUGUCUCCUCUCUGUAAUGGCAGGAAGCUCCUCAAUGCACUUGUACAAAUUGGGAAGCUAAGGUACAAAGCUCUGAGAAGCAGCCAUUCUGCAUUGAAAAGAAAUAGGACCGAGGAUACAGAUGGACUAUGGACCAAGCUUUCUGGUGCUUUUUCUUUUACCUGCUUCUUUUUUAGCUUCCAGUAUUUCCUUGGGAGGUAAACUGGCUGGUUCUGAGACAAUUUGCAUAAGCAGUUCAGCUUAGAUGCAGGCUGGAAACUGUUUGCUGCAGGGAUUACUUUCCAUAAUUUGAAGUUAACCAGCAUUCUAUACCUAGACUAAUUGGUUUAGAGAGCUUUAACCUUGUAAUUUGGGUUCGUUUCUAUGUUAGAGCUUGAAUAAGAAUGGUUCAUCUUAGUCCCAAAGUGAACUCAAGUUCUGGUCUAUUUCUGUAUUCAAAAGGGAAAGAAUGGGAAGACAGCCCAAGUAUUUUGAGUCUCAUUCUUUUUCACUAUAUGUUAGAGAGACAUCCCUUCACCAUUUGGAGGUUAUUUGCUUACAUUUUCAGGAAUGAACCUAUGUUAUAAGAUACAUUAUGAAAUAUGACUAGUUUCUACUAAGAAAGGAAAGAUUAACUUUUUAUUGCCUUUUCUGAACUUGUAUUUGGGUUAAAACUUUCUAAUGAAUCUGUUCCAUUUUGUCCCAUCCUUCCCACCUUCCCCUGCAAGUUCCAAUGAAGGAAGGAAGGUCCCUUAAGCCUGUCCACCUCUUCAGUUAAGACUGGUCUUGGCACUUCUACCUGAUUAGUUGCUACAGUUAAAAAAUAUGUUCAUUAGAUUGGUGCUGAUGAAUGCCUGUGGUGACAUGAGUAAGUGGAACACUGUUCUAGCAACUUUGUUAGGUUGGUAUUUGCUGAUGAUAAUCACUAAGGAGCACAUCGCAGGAAAGAAAGCAUUCAUGCCCUAGUACUACUGAAGGUCCUGCAGCAUGGCUCCAGGUUUCCGAGCCAGUAACGGGGAGUUCAAGUCUGCUUAGAAAACAAAGAAAGAACACCCUGACCCCAUUACCAUUUUCUUUGUAAUUUGACUUUUCUUAAUGUGGUCUAACUCAUGUGGGGGCUGGUGCAAAAGAAAUGACAGAAGGUCCUAUGCAAAAGUAAAGUGAUAUAUAGAAAUGUCCACUAUAUUAAAAGAUGUGGUAGGGAGAAAAUUAGACGUAUUACUUCUGAAUAGAGGCUGCCUACUUGAGGCAAAUGUAAGGGGGGGGGGGGGGUUCUCUUCUCAAUUAAUGUAAAAAAUUCUUCUGACCUCUUCCAAGAUGAGGAGAAAGAAUGGCUUUGGCCAGCUAGGUUUCCUUGAUAACAUUUUCACUGAAGACUUCAGUUAAGAAAUCAGAAAUUUAUUUUGAUCUGGUUCUCUAUUAAAUGAAGCCAAUGCUCUGGUACUAAGGAAACAGAAGUUCUUGAAUACAAAUAUAAACAGAGAGCUAUGAAAAUAUAUUGGGAGGAGAGGAGAAUAAAAAGUUCUCCCCAGCUUUGGGCACUGAAUAUAGCAUAUAGCAGAACAUUAAACAUUUCAAAGAAAUGACUGUUUCCCCAUGAUAGCUGUCUGUUUAUAAAAUGAAAAGCUACAUGUAGAAAAGGUAGGGUGAGGUAGUUAAGGCAGGGGAAUGCCCUAUAUAAGGCAACUUUCUAGUCCUCUGUUUUACUGAAUUUUAUAUGAACUCGACCAAAAGUGGGAAAUAAUGUUUUUUUGUGAGGUUCCCUGUACAAACUGCAAAAUAAGAGCUUGUUAUAGGAGGCAGAUCCCUUUACUUUACUGGCUGAAACAGUUUCUCAUUUCUGGGGAGGGGAAACUAUUUGGAUGUCUAAUAUGCUAGAUAAGAUGGCUGUAAUUCAAAAGACAGAACCUCCAUUGAAAAGAAAGAGAAUGAAAAGCGUAGGGGAGGCAAUAAGUGAAAGCCCACUGCUGUGUACUCUCAGGGGUCAAGUCAAAGACCAGAAUAGGAAGUUUCAGGGAUGAGCUGGACCUGCAAAUGAAGAUGGCUCCUUGCUAUUCAGGAGAGAGGUUGUAAAAAUGCCCACAGAAGCCCCAGGCAUCUCUACCAUCAUGCCCAUCCCUCCUUGUCAUGCGUUCUUCCUCGCCUCUAUUUCUAGCUUCUUUUGCUCCUGCACAGGCUGUCUCCCUGUCCUAAUAUUUUGGCAAACUGAGCAUCAGCACCUGCUCUUGGGGAGGAUUAAUUACAUAGGCCUAUGGUGAGGGGCACACGGACACCCCUGACAAUUCCAUAGUCCCUGGGCACUGCUUGAAGGGUAGACAAAACUCAUUUAUUUAUUUAUUUCAUUUUAAAAAAAGUAACAAUACCACAUUCUGCAAAAAGAUGAAGCUAUAUUGCUGCAGCUGCUAAAAAUACUAUCUGUUGCAAGCGUCUGCACACCAGCUUCUCAAUCAGGGACGCCACUGGGUCCUUUGUAAACUGUUCAAUGUUGGCAGCUCUGUAGGGGGGCUCAUUGAGGUCAAGGUCAGCACUGGAAUUGGCACUUGAGAUUAUGGGUGUAGAAGGGCUAUAAGGAGUACAGAUUUUGAUUCUACUGUGUUCAGCAGAGUUUGUACCCCCAAAUAUUUUCUGACUAACUCGGCACUGGCUUGCAAACUCAGUAUUUUGGCCUGUACAGGGUACAGGGUUGUCUCUGGGGGAGAUCCAACAUAUCACACCAGUAGUUGUAAUGCCAACUGACUACUGGAAGAUACCAAAAUCCCUUUUGUAACAUCAAUAAACCCCAGAAAGAGCUAAUGCAUUUUCUGGUGUUGUUUUGUUUUUGUUUUUUUAAAUGAGGAAAAUGUAAUGGAAGGUUAGUGGGCACCUUCUCUAAGAGACUGAAAAAUAUGGGUUUCUAAAGAAGAGGUCCCACAGAAAGAUACAGAGAUGUUGCCUUAUUAACACUGUCCUUCCAUUAUGCUUCUCCUUUUAAAAACCUUAUGCCUUUAAACUCCUUAAGGAAGUCUAGAAAACUCUAUGCAUCCAGAAUAAGGAUCAGUCUAGGGAGAUGAGCAUGUGUUUUUGACUAGCUUGUAUACUGGGAUCUUUAGGUGUAGAUUUCCCAAACAAUACUUCUUCCUGCAUACUUUUUGCUACAAAAGGAGUCUUAUCUAGUAGUGUACAAUACACAAUUUAUCAGAACUCAACAGGAAAGUUGGAAACCAGGGAGAUAUGUUUUAGUCCAGGGAGAUGAGCAUGUGUUUUUGUCAUUUCAAUUUUCAUCUUAUGAGCUAUGAUGAGAAACUUCAGAGACCUGACAAUCUAAACAAAUGAGCAUAAAAAAGUGCUCAAAAGACCCACAAAAACUUGAGAGUAAAUGACAAUCAAGAAGAGAUGACCCCAAAAUUGUUCAGUUCAGCAUUAUCUUUCCUUUACUACCUGACUCCUUUCUUGUGAUCAUAAUUAGCCAGACUUUUGCAUAUUUUAUUAAGCUUCCAUUUUAUGAUGUUUUAAGUGAUGUUUAAUAUAGUGUAACUCUGUGUGGUAUUCCAAGCCCCUUGCCAGGGGCUGCUCAUAUGCACAAACACAAUUAAUAGAAAUUCACAGAAAAUUAUGCUCUGCAUCAAAGCUGUCAUUGUACCAUAUAUUUAUUGUUACUAUAGAAUUAUUAAGUACUCAUACUUUCUUGUGUUUACUAGGUAACAGAUAAACCUCUAGAAAUGUGCUUUCCCUAUUCUGCUAUAUCAUCAAGACUAAAUAUAAUUUUUGUAUAUAUGUUUAGCUCUAUUUAGCAAUGCUUUGUGUAGGGGAGGGGCAGGAAAUCAGUUAACAAAAUUAAGUUGCCAGAAAAUGUGAUUUGUUCCUCCCCCACUUGACAAACACUUCAAAAAUGACAAAAAGAUGCCACAGUUAAUAAGAAGGCUCAAUUGUUUCUGCUAAUGGGUAGGUAGGAGGGGUACUGGAACGGUGGGGAGUAGAUACUCAUCUGCCCAAACCCAACACAUAGCUCAAUAUCACUAAUGUGGGAUUUAGGUUGAACUCCUAGUACAGUAGAGCAGUAGAAGAGCAGAAAGACUGGGUAUACUAGGGGCAGCAUCUGAAACCCUGUGGAUUUUCUUUUACUUCCUGGCUCAAUUUCACAUAUUUAGGAAUCUGCUCUAAGAUAUAGGGCAAAGCAUUCAGCCUAGGCUGUCACAUAGGCUGCUUUCCAGGUAGUUUUGAGGGUAAUUUCAGCUAGACUCUUACUUAUCUCUCAGUAAAAUGAAAUCUAAUCUGAUAAUAGUUCAGUAUUCCCUCAUUAUUCCCUUUGGACAUUUCUAGUUCUUAAUUUUUGGCAAGAAAAAGCAGCGGUUUUCCUACUAUCAAAUCUCAUGGAACGGCAUUGGAAAAUUCCAGGUCUGUCAACUCCCCAUGUCAGAUAUAUCCCCCCCCCCCUCGUUUUCUGGCCUUUCCUCAGUCCCUAUUCUCAAUGGGUUUAGCAAGCUUAACUAAGGGGAGCCCUCUUCACACAUUACCACCCACCUCCCUGCAAUGCUUUAGCUUUUCUUCCUAUUCAUUAGUUCAAUCUAAAAGACUGAAUCUGGCUCUGCCUGUAUCACAGGCAUAUCAUCCCAUCUAAAGAACUGAUACAAUCUCCAAGGAUUCCCAAAAGAAAGCUAGUUCUGUGACUCAGGGCAAGUUAUUUAACUUCUCUAAUACUAAGAUUCGUCAACUGUCAAAACAAUGGUUGGCCUAAAUAAGGUCUAAGGCAGAGAUCAACAAAUUUACUUUACAUUGAGGACCCAAAUGAUUUUUUUGCCUUUUAAGGAAAGUAAUAAUAAAAUAGGAGGGAAGGGUUUUAUGUUUCCUUAGGGCACUAAUUUUCAAACUAAGGUUGAGACCCAAGUUAGGGUCAACAGAAAGGUUUUGAAAGGAUCCUUUGAAAAAGCUCAAAGAAAAUGCUAAGCACAAUUGGCCAGGAUAACUUAUGGAGCAGAAAGAAAAGCAAGUGUCCAGUUUUCUCUCCAUCUCCUUCAGUCAAGUUUGUACGUAGAAUAGAGGCAACCUCACUAGGACAACAAUGUAUAGUGGGGGCCAAGUCUAAGGAGUCUCAAAUUAAAUCCUUAUUGCUAUCUGCAAAAAAUCCCUAGUGCUUCCUGGAGCUAAAUACAUUCCUUUACAAACCAAGAUUAUAAUUAAACAAGAAAACAAAUAAGUCAGAAGAGCUAAGUGUAUGCCUGUUAUUUUGGGCAAGAUACCUCUCAAAUGCUAUAUAUCCUACCCAUAAUUUGCUGAGGUCCUUCUAGGUCAAAAAUUUUAUGAUUUAUAACAUAAAUGGGAUGCACUGAAGAAUGAAUAGAUCAUAUUUUUUUUCUAUUGAUAAUCAGAUGUAAAGGUUUAGACUGCAUUGUGACAAAGGAAAAACUAUUAUUUUUGUAGCUUGGUAGAGAAAGGAAGAAAGCGGUUUCUAAUUGGAGUAUAUUUUCAAUUGAAUUAUUCCUAUCUUAAAUAAAAUUCAAUGUAUUAUACCUCUUAUGACAUCUCUGCUAAAAAUGGAGAACCAGAAGCCACUACAACUGGAAAUCUGCAUUCAGAUACAGCAGGUCUUGGGCCUCUUUGGCUAAAGGAAGAUGGCCUCAUUCUUUGACUGUAGUGAGAAGGGGACUAUUUGCCAUCUGCUGUACUAGUUACCUUCUUUGCAGCCUGGGCCCUGUUUGCAGUCUGCUAUAAAUAUUAAGAGCAAAGCCACCAACAUUUCCCACCCACAGCAAGCUGAGAACCCUCUUCCACCCUGCUUGCCAAGAUGUUUGUAAGAAGAUCCUAUCCUAUUUCAGGAAUAGUGGGGAGUGGUUCCACUUUAGGAGGAAAAUAUUGAAAAGGUAUCUCCUCCAAUCUCUUGCUUUCCUCUUCCUCUGUAUGAGUGGAAAGAAGAGAAGAAAAAAGAAUGUUCAACAAAUCUAAGGAAGGAUGCCAGAGCCACUGGUUUCCCUCCUAAUCCUAUCUUUCUGGAUAUAAUGUUUAUUAAUGAUUCCCGUGCAAAGAGUAACUGUCCUGCUGGUUGCUGCACACAUAAUUAACCAGCUUCAGGGAAAGCUGGAUACACUCAUUGGGUCUGGGAUCCACAGACUCCAGAGCUACCUGAUAUAGACACACUGCUUUUGAAAUGGAAUCUAGAUUGCAGGGUGGAGUUUUCCUGUUGGAGGAGAAAAAAAGCACUCAGAAGAAUAUUCUGAACCUUGGUCACCCAAGAAAUAUCAAAUAAUAAUGCUGCUAGAAAAGGACCCGGAUGACUGUAUGGAUCCAAGGACCAUGAUCUCAACCAUGCCAACAAAGCCCUAUGCAGAACACACUAUGGAAAUCUGUCAAAUGCCAGACUUUGAGGCUGUGAGGCAGCCUUUUUGAGGCCUGGCUUAUUAAACAUCCUGAGAGUGAGAAGCCCACCCUUCCUGACAUGUCAUUUUCUACCAGGAGUGUCCUGACUGGAUUCACGUUCAUCCACCUCAUCCUCACUCUGCUUUUCUCUUUGGAAACAGUGGCAUGAGGACUGAUUGUCCUACUGACUUGAGUAAAAUGAGACAGUACUUUGCAAGUAAAGUGGAGACUGAAGUUUUUCAAGAAGACUGAAGAUAAACACAGCUCCAGUUUAGCCAUCAUCACAUGACCCAAAAUUCUAGAGUGACUGUGACAAUGUGGAUAUGUGGAUAUGUAGCUAGGAGGGAGGAUCAGCUGUUCCCCCAAAUCUAUGAUCACUCUUCAGUCAUCUCCCAGAAUCUGGCUGAGACUUUUGCCCAGUAAAAAGCCUUUCCUCUGGUGGAGCUGCCAAACAAUGAAGCCAGCGGAAGAGUUCCCACAUCUGCAGUGCCCAUCACCAUAGCUGGAGGAAUCCUCACAUGACAGCUUUCCACUUUACCAAAUACUAGGGAGUUCUCUGACAGAAGAGCUGAAUUAAUGUAGACUGAAUGCCAAAGGAUGGGGCUUUUUUUUUUUGGCCUUGUAUGCUAUCAUCAAUAUCCUAUCACAUUCUAUGUCUGUUGCCUAUCAGCUCUUCUUUGGUAUAAAUGGACAGUAGGAACUCUUUAGCUGUUGAGUUGUAGGGAAAGAGACAAAAAUAGGUGUUUUUGAGCUCAAAUAUCCAUUUCAGAAAACUAGUUACUGAAUGAGGUAGAGACAACAGCUGUCAGAAAGGGGGUUGAGACUUACACACCAUGAUAGUGAGGAGAAAACAAAAAACAAGUGUUUCAAACUAAUGCUGCUUCCCCUCAAUGUUACUAAAUUAGAAAACCUACUCCACGUUUCAUAUCCAGCAAGCAAUAAUUUUUCAAAAAUUAGAAGAAGUGCUUUGGAAAAGAAUGAGUUCUUUCUGCUCAAUGUGGCAACUCUGCUUCAAAAAAACUUCUAUCACCUAAGCAGUUUAAAUAAUUUGGACCUCAGUCCUAGUCAUAUACUAUUCCCUUUUAAGAAAGCAACAGGCCCUUAGUUUUGCUUGGGAUGGGGUAUAAACUGCUUCUGAGUGCUGCUGACAACCAAAGUGAGCUUUUAUGAAACAGCAUUCUGCUGUCUAUUCAAAUUGUACCCAGGCUUCUGGGGGGUAAACAUAGUGGAUAUGAGAGCAUGCUGAGGCUGGCCCCAAAUUCUGCCCAAAUCAAUCACCUGGUGCUGAUGGAAAGAAUUGCUACUACUGAUAUGAUGGAAACUGAGCACUCCUUCCCCCACUUCACAGUGUUCUACCCAGGAAGCAGAAAUGUAUUAAUCUUUGUAGAUGAGUGAUGCAGUUUAAAAUACUGCAGUGUUUGGCUGCCAUCUCUCUCCCCUGGGGUCUCAAAAUAACUUCACCACAAAUCACUUUUGCUAAACACUCACUCAGGCAUCCCUCUUCCCUGCCAGGAAUAUACACAUAUUAUGUAAGUGGAAGAAGCCACCCAGCUCUGGCUAGAAGAAGGGAGGGAAUAUACCCAGGGGCAAUGUUUUGCUGCCCUGAGACUUUGUAUAGCUGGAUUUUAAAGCUACCUCUGAAUCCUGGCAGCUGGACCCAAAUAGUAACAAGCUGCCUCAGCAAGGGAGCAUCCCCCCAAGGAUGUACAGGCAACAAUAUCAGAGAAGGUCACCCAAUGCUGGGACUGCCCUAGAAUCAGAACACUAGCAGUCUCUGAAUGUUUAUAAACACUUUUCUUCUCUAGGGUCUCUCUAGUCAGUUCCCCUCCCAAUCCACUAAAUAAAUCAUGUUAAAAUUGCUAGUACCUUUUAUCGUGUGUGUGUGUGUGUGUGUGUGUGUGUGUGUGUGUGUGUGUGUGUGUGUGUGUGUGUCCCCAGCCUGCCAUGCCUGCUGAUUUACUCAUGUUUAGGUUUUGGGGUCUACAUCAAUGGUUCUUACACAGAGUAAACAUCCAAUAAACAUUUGGCAAAUAAAUAUAGUGUAAGAAUCUCAUGGUAUGUAUGUACAAUGUACACUCAAACUUUUUCAACAGAGCAGUAGAUAAGGCUCAACAGACUAGAGAACUUUUCCAAAUAGACUCAUCCUAUUGGACUGAGGGAUAAUGGAUGUGUUCAAAGACAAUCAACAACAAAGCAGGUCAUUUUCAGCAAGUAUCUCUCUUGAUUUCCUGUUUCUCAAGUACUCCAAUAUUAAGAUACAAAGGUUUGAUUUUUUGCUCCUGUAAUAUUUAAUAUGAUUUCAUGAAAUUAUAGUUAAUAAAAUAUGGUGGAUUAAGAAGCCAUAUCUAAAAUCUGUUGAUUAACACAUAUAAGGACGUUUAUCAAAUGUGCAAAUAACAUAAAUCAGAGAGGGAUAGUUUAUAUGCUAAAUAAUGAUAAAUAAAAAACAUUUCAAUAGCUAAGAUAGGCAAAAAAUAAGCAAUAGCAGAAAAAAUGUAAAGUCUUAGACAGAAUUCAGAAGAUUUGGUGACCUCUAUAAUGCACCUGAAUUCUGAGUUUCUAUGACAAUACAUAUAAUCUAAGGAAGAAACAGAAUAAAAUAAAAACAUAUUCAUUAUGCUCCUCCUAGUGUACCUCUCCUGAAAAGGAUGGGAAUGGCAAGUAAGAUAGCCAUACACAUUAUUCAAGCAUUUCCUCAAACCUAGGGGGAACAUAUUAGCUCAGGGAGUUCUGGUUUUCAGUGUUUUGUUUUGUUUUGUUCUCAAUGAACAAGUGUCCUUUCAAAUGUCCAAAUGUCCUGACUUAGCCUUGAUUGGCUAUGUCACAACCACACUGUGGAAGUACUUGAAAUAACAUAUCUAUAUCUAUAUAUCUAUAUCUAUAUCUAUAUCAAACUUGGUGUAGGUAGGAUAAUUCUUACUUCUUGAGCACUUCAAAUUUGUCUCUAGUUUAGGAUGGAUUGAAGAAACAUCUCCAGCCUUUAGAGGUAUAGGGAGUGAAUCUGAAUUAAGGGGUAAACAGACUCCUGAAAGGGGAGCAGGCCUUUCUCUUCUCUAAUCCUUGCACUAACUAGUUAUAAUGCUCUCUUUGCAUUCUAAAGGCUGUCUUUCAGAGAGAACUGAUGCCACAAGAUUCAUAUAUCUAAGGGUAACCUUAGAGAUCGUUUAAUUUUCUCAUACAGAUGAGGAAAUUGAGGACUGAGGAUAAAUGAAUUACCAAGGUCAUUGCUAGCAGGAGCAAAGAAAGAACUUACACCCAACUCAUUUCAAGUCUUGUAGUAUUUCAACUAUUAUCAUAUAGAGACUUCAGCCAACAGGAAAGGUUCCAAGUUCCAUUAGCAGCAAUUUGUCCCCUUGAAAAAUUUAAGGUAUAAAAAGAGUUAAUUUAUUGAAAUAAAUAAUGUUAUCCUUCUUUGCCCCAAAUUGUUUUUGAACAACAUAUAAAACAAUGCAUUUAAAAUUACUGAAUUUUGUGUUUCUUAUUGAAAUACUGACCUCCACUAAAUACCUAUUCAAAUAUCUCAUGGUAGCAUGGAGAUAACUCUGAAGUGUCAUAGGUCAUCCUACUCUAAAAUUGAGAUUUGAACCCUGGACUUCAAUCCCCACAAGCCCUUGCUCCACUUCCCAAAAAUGCUUUGUAAUCUCAUGGGAAUUCUGAGGUGGGCCGAGAUCAAGGAAGGAUUUAAGCUGGUGGCAAAGGUUUUUGGGUCUCUUCUCUCUUUUUGGACUUCCAUUUUGGAGCAGACGUGGCUUUUUCCAUAAUGUAGGUGAGGUCUUGUCUAGGCCUCUGGCCUAGGCACUUUUUCCUUAUCCUGUAUUUUCUUUAAUCCUUAAUAAACCUCAAAAAAAAUUAAUACUCCUUGCAGAGAGAAACUAAUUUCAGAUGCCUCAGUCUCCCCUAAAUUUUCAUCUUUAUAGUUGGUGACCACAAGUAGGAGCCAAGUUCGGGGAUACUCAUCUGUGAGUAUCUUCAGAACUUGGCUCCUACUUGGCUUCUAUAAUCUGGUCCCUUCCUUUUCUGCCUUUCAUAGUGUGGUACCUUUCUGAAAUCCUGGCUAUUGACUGGGUAAAUGCAUCAUUGCUUAGAUCAUUUUAAUUGGGCCCUGAUUCAAGGACCUGUUGUAGAUUUAUUUUUCUUUUUACUUAGAAUUUUUUCACAUAAAACUUUGCUAGUCUAUAUUUUCAUCCAGAGUUUUUUCUUUUUUUAUUUGGAUUUUUCUGAUAUCCUUUUAAUAUCUCUUGCCAAUUGAUUCAUAUACUUCAUACCUCAGCCAUGCAUCCCUAAGUGAUCCUGUAUUUGUCAAUCACCCUCUUAACGGGGGAAUGUAAAAAAAUAUUAUUUAAAUUACAAAGUUUAAAUUCCUUUUGAGAAGAAUUUUAGAUAAAGAAGAUGCUACCUCUCUGAAUCCAGAACUGAACUGUUGGAGAAGAUGCUAUGAAGAAGCCUCCAGACCAGCCAGCUGCACAAAAAAUUGAACUUUGGGUGUGGUUGAUUGAACAUUUAUUUGUAUGUAUACUUUCAUGCCAAAGGGACUUCCCCCUAACUGGCUUUUUGUCAAUGCGUUCAGCAAUUAUUGGUUUUGUUUUUUUUUUCUUAUCCUCAAAUUAUUGUAAUCUUUAAAUUGAUUAUGUUUUUAUGAUCCUUUGGGGAAGGACUUCUUCCCAGAGGAUCAAACGGGGGUAUUGUAAAAUUGAGAUUUGAACUCUGGACUUCAAUUCCUACAAGCCUUUGCUCCACUUCCCCAAAAUGCUUUGUAAUCUCACGGGAAUUCUGAGGUGGGCCAAGAUCGAGGAAGGAUUUAAGCUGGUGGCAAAGGUUUUUGGGUCUCUUUUUGGACUUCCAUUUUGGAGCAGAUAUAGUUCUUUCCAUAAUGUAGGUGAGGUCUUGUUUAGGCCUCUGGCCUAGGCAUGUUUCCUUAUCCUGUAUUUUCUUUAAUCCUUAAUCCUUAAUAAACCUCAAAAAAAUAUAAUACUCCUUGCAGAGAGAAACUAAUUACAGAUGCCUCAGUCUCCCCUAAAUUUUCAUCUUUACACUACCAGGAUGAAAUCUCUGAUGAAUCAGGUCCUAAACUAGAAAAAGUACCAACUACAGGUUCAGCAAUGGAUUGUGCCUAACAUCCCAAGAUUAGCCUAGCUAAAUUAGGAGAUGUUAUCACUAUGUUAUAUUAGGUAUGCAAUGAAAAUUUACUUUUUUGGUCACAGCAAUUCAUAAAAAUGUCUUGUCCAGUCUAAAUAGAAGAGAAAUUCCUCCUUGACUAGGUGGUGCAAAGGGUAGAGAAUCUCCCCCAAUCCCCUUAAGUUAGGAAAACCCAAGUUCAAAUCCAGCAUCAUUUACUAGCUGUAUGACCUUGGGCAAGUCACUUAACUAAUUAACUUUUGUUUGCUUCAGUUUCCUCAACUGCAAAAUGGGGAUAAUAUUUGUAAGGUGAUUAGCAUAGUUCUAGGCACUAGUAGGUGCUAUAUACUUACUUCUCCCCUUCCCUAGAUAUGGUGACACCCUCUUUGCAGAUGACAUUGUAUUGUCUGCAUGGAGCACUGAACUACUGCUAGGCCUAAAUCAAGUAGAUGAAGAAUGCUUUUGGUCCAGACAUGGACAACCUAGAGGAUUUGAUAUUCAGUAUAUGUUACUUGGACAGACAUACGAAAUGGAUAAUGAAGGGAGAAGAGGCUAGUGAGCUCCAGCAGGAGUGACAUAGCGAGUAGAUCUGUGAUACAAUAAUGUUUUUUUUUUUUACAUUUUAAAAACAAAAUUGUAUUUUACUUUAAAAAUGUAAAAACCAUUCUUAGCUUCUUGCCCUAGAGCUGUAUUUGGCUCUCCAAACCUAGUUUGCAGACCUUUGAGCAAGGGAAAAUGCAAAAGUAUUCUAACAAACACAACAUUCUUUCUGAAAUAAAGGCCUAUCUAUUAAAGCACUGUAUUUCUCAAAUGAUGUUGUUAGAUGAUGUGUCGUGAAACGCUACAGCUGAGGCUUAUGAGGAGCUCAAUGGAUAGGUAGGGAUAUGGAAGGCAUAAGUAGAUUGCUACACAUUAUAGACAAGGAAUAGUGCAAGAAAAGUGGCAUAAAGGAAAUCUUCCAAGUCAUGUAUGGCUGAAGAUGGUUUAGUCUUUUAGGAAGAGUAAAGGUAUAAUAAUCAACAGGGAGCCAAUGGGCUUCACUGGUAUCCCUACAAUGCCAAGAACUCAAGACCAGCUCUCAGCACAGCACAGUGGAUAUAACCUGUGAAGAUUGGGUUUAGCUAUCUCCUGAUUGUAACAAUGAAAAUACUUAGCUCUUCCUUUAUUGUGAAGAUUAAAUUAUAAUCCCCUUAUUGUAAGAUAAUUCAGUAUUUGAAUUAGAUCUACCCAUUUUAACUACAAAAAGGUGUUAACUAACUACAAAAAGGUGUAAACACCUAUUUCAUGCAUUGAGUGGGAGGUCUGUGGCCCAGGUGUGAAAGAAGGGGCAGUCUUAGAGAGGAGCGUCUGCUAUGAUUGGUAGACAUGAAAUUUUGGGGAGGUGACACAAGAGAAAAAGGCAUUUAAAUAGAGGAAACAAAGACUGAAGAGGACAGAAGAGUCACUUGGAGUGAAGGAUCAGUCACUCUGAGCUGAAGAGAAGACAGACACUUGAGGAGAGACUGGAAGAUGGACACUCGGACUUGGCUGUGGAACUGGACCCCUGGAGGAGCUCGUGCAGGAAACCUCAGACUGCUUUCCUCUUAGAUGGUCACCACUGGUUAGUGAAAGGCAGACUUAGUGACCCUGCCUUUCUGGAGGUGUAAACCUCGGAGAAAGGUCCAUCUUCUUGAGACUCUUCUCCCUGAUUAGGACCUUAGAAUUUCUACCUGGCUCAGAGGAAGCUGGAGCUCUCUCCCUUUCUACCCUUUUCUCACUUCCUUAAUAUCUUUUCUCUCUAUUGUAAAUAAACUACCAUAAAUUCCAA